GACGAACGCUGGCGGCGUGCUUAACACAUGCAAGUCGAACGGAAAGGCCCUGCUUUUGUGGGGUGCUCGAGUUGCGAACGGGUGAGUAACACGUGAGUAACCUGCCCUUGACUUUGGGAUAACUUCAGGAAACUGGGGCUAAUACCGGAUAGGAGCUCCUGCUGCAUGGUGGGGGUUGGAAAGUUUCGGCGGUUGGGGAUGGACUCGCGGCUUAUCAGCUUGUUGGUGGGGUAGUGGCUUACCAAGGCUUUGACGGGUAGCCGGCCUGAGAGGGUGACCGGCCACAUUGGGACUGAGAUACGGCCCAGACUCCUACGGGAGGCAGCAGUGGAGAAUAUUGCACAAUGGGCGGAAGCCUGAUGCAGCCACGCCGCGUGCGGGAUGACGGCCUUCGGGUUGUAAACCGCUUUCGCCUGUGACGAAGCGUGAGUGACGGUAAUGGGUAAAGAAGCACCGGCUAACUACGUG
RNAcentral lists this ribosomal RNA (468 nucleotides) under uncultured bacterium. RNAcentral's name for it is "partial 16S ribosomal RNA". It matches the Rfam family "Bacterial small subunit ribosomal RNA", at positions 28 to 507 of the family's 1533-position model. The record is from RNAcentral.